AACAAACAUCAAUUGUGACUGAUAAACCUUUAACUACAUACUAAAUAAUGCAUUUAUUGAAAAUAUUUAUUACUGAUAACAAGAUUGUAACCGUGUUUUUAAUAGCAGAAAGCGCAAAAAAUAUUAAAUGAUUGGUAAAUGCUAAAAGAUUUAUUGUGGUCUACUAUAGUCUCAUAAGGUAGAAAUACCGUGUGUAAUGCUCAUUUCUUUCAAAUUUAACUCGAUAUCCUUCAUAAGAACCAUUGUUUUCGACAUUUAUUCAUUCUUUUAGGAAUAUUGAAACAACAUUAUUAAUUGUGGUAAACCUUAUCUGGCAGUACUUAAGAGUGCAUCUUUGACUUUAUUACUCGAGUGAAUGCACCUUCAAACCGGUUUAACACCAACAUGUCACAGUAAUCAAUACCAUCUGUGUUAAGAUGUCGGGAAUGUGUUAGACGAAUGAUUUUGUUUUAUGGAGCUUUGAAGAGCGAUGAAUGGCACUAAAGUGGUGCCAAAUGGAUAUCUCAAACACCCAUUGUUGAUGUGUGAUGCUGAUAAUACAGAGACAGCUAGAGUGACAGAGUUUGAUGAAUAAACUUAAAUUAAAAAACAGAAAUAACCACCAUCUCUCUCAGAGGUCAUCUUUCUCAUUAUUGUGGGGAAACCUCAAAGGGCAUCAGGAAAACCUUCAUCAACCUCUUUGUGCCCAGUGGCUUGUGCAACAGUGUUUCAGAAAUUAUCAUUAAAAUGGGGAUAAUGGAUGACUGGCCACACAUAUGGGGCUAUGGACAAGCUUCAGAGCAGGCUGCCAGGUGGUGUUGUUAGUAGUUUAUACUCCG
Molecule: long non-coding RNA, 818 nt
Organism: Mya arenaria
Lineage: Eukaryota; Metazoa; Mollusca; Bivalvia; Myida; Myidae
Exons: 4
Source: RefSeq, a predicted model, not a curated record